ACGCACGCUGGCGGCGUGCUUAACACCUGCAAGUCGAACGGAAAGGCCCUGCUUGCAGGGUACUCGAGUGGCGAACGGGUGAGUAACACGUGGGUGAUCUGCCCUGCACUUCGGGAUAAGCUUGGGAAACUGGGUCUAAUACCGGAUAGGAGCCAUCUUUAGUGUGGUGGUUGGAAAGUUUUUUCGGUGUAGGAUGAGCUCGCGGCCUAUCAGCUUGUUGGUGGGGUAAUGGCCUACCAAGGCGGCGACGGGUAGCCGGCCUGAGAGGGUGUACGGCCACAUUGGGACUGAGAUACGGCCCAGACUCCUACGGGAGGCAGCAGUGGGGAAUAUUGCACAAUGGGCGCAAGCCUGAUGCAGCGACGCCGCGUGGGGGAUGAAGGCCUUCGGGUUGUAAACUCCUUUCGCUAGGGACGAAGCUUUUUUGUGACGGUACCUAGAUAAGAAGCACCGGCUAACUACGUG
Molecule: ribosomal RNA, 465 nt
Filed under: uncultured bacterium
Lineage: Bacteria
Description: partial 16S ribosomal RNA
Rfam family: Bacterial small subunit ribosomal RNA
Source: RNAcentral